AGAUCAUGGUGAUGUCACAAUCAUGGAUCGCAAUGUCGCCUUCUGAUUUCCUGCGCGCAUUCCACCCUCUGCGCUUCCCUCUCCAAUUUGGACUCAAGGGUUUUACUACCCUGCUGGGGUUGGAUCUCUGAGCGCAGGAAAGAACAUCAGUAUUAGCAAGACUGCGGUGGUGCACACCUUUAAUCAUAGCACUUGAGAGGCAGAGGAAAUGGUGUCAUUCAGGGAUGUGGCCAUUGAUUUCUCUGCAGAGGAGUGUGAACUGCUGGACCCUGAUCAGUGGAAUUUGUACAGGGAUGUGAUGUUGGAGAAUUUCAACAACCUUGUGUUCCUGGGCCUUGCCUCCUCUAAGCCAUACCUGGUCACAUUUCUGGAGCAAAGACAAGAACUUUCAGAUAUGAAGAGACUAGGAGCAGCCGCCAUGGAAACAGG
Molecule: RNA transcript, 429 nt
Organism: Microtus ochrogaster (prairie vole)
Lineage: Eukaryota; Metazoa; Chordata; Mammalia; Rodentia; Cricetidae
Exons: 4
Source: RefSeq, a predicted model, not a curated record